UAGUGAUAAUAAUAAGCCAUAUGCCUACCC
RNAcentral lists this non-coding RNA (30 nucleotides) under Mus musculus (house mouse). Lineage: Eukaryota; Metazoa; Chordata; Mammalia; Rodentia; Muridae. The record is from RNAcentral.